This 460-nucleotide ribosomal RNA is filed under the name uncultured bacterium. RNAcentral describes it as "partial 16S ribosomal RNA". It matches the Rfam family "Bacterial small subunit ribosomal RNA", at positions 338 to 795 of the family's 1533-position model. The record is from RNAcentral.
CCUACGGGAGGCAGCAGUGGGGAAUAUUGGUCAAUGGGCGCGAGCCUGAACCAGCCAAGUAGCGUGAAGGAUGACUGCCCUACGGGUUGUAAACUUCUUUUAUAAAGGAAUAAAGUGAGGCACGUGUACCUUUUUGUAUGUACUUUAUGAAUAAGGAUCGGCUAACUCCGUGCCAGCAGCCGCGGUAAUACGGAGGAUCCGAGCGUUAUCCGGAUUUAUUGGGUUUAAAGGGAGCGUAGAUGGGUUGUUAAGUCAGGUGUGAAAGGUUGCGGCUUAACCGUAAAAUUGCAAUUGAUACUGGCAGUCUUGAGUACAGUUGAGGUAGGCGGAAUUCGUGGUGUAGCGGUGAAAUGAUUAGAGAUCACGAAGAACUCCGAUUGCGAAGGCAGCUUACUAAUCUGCCACUGACAUUGAGGCUCGAAAGUGUGGGUAUCAAACAGGAUUAGAUACCCGAGUAGUC